UGGGUUGGUCAGGUGGUUGCGGCAUAUCUCAGGAUAUGCUGAGGAAAGUCCGCACUCCACAGGGCACGAUACCGGGGAAAUCCCGGGGUGGGGCAACCUACCGGAUAGGGCCACAGAAACAUACCGCCGGUUCGCCGGUAAGGGUGAAAAGGUGGUGUAAGAGACCACUGGCAAACACAGCAAUGUGUUUGUGAGGCAACCCCUAUCGGGAGCAAGGUCAAACAGGCGCAAGUGAAUAGCCCGUUCAUUUGCCUGAAGAGGUAAUUGCGCCGGGUAGACUGCAUAGACAGAUAACCACUCAGGCAGGAUUAUUUUUUGCUGGACAGAAUGCGGCUUACAGACCAACCCAAUAA
RNAcentral lists this RNase P RNA (353 nucleotides) under Anaerolineae bacterium. RNAcentral describes it as "RNase P RNA component class A". It matches the Rfam family "Bacterial RNase P class A". Rfam says of the family: Ribonuclease P (RNase P) is a ubiquitous endoribonuclease, found in archaea, bacteria and eukarya as well as chloroplasts and mitochondria. Its best characterised activity is the generation of mature 5'-ends of tRNAs by cleaving the 5'-leader elements of precursor-tRNAs. The record is from RNAcentral. Lineage: Bacteria; Bacillati; Chloroflexota; Anaerolineae.